This 1346-nucleotide ribosomal RNA is filed under the name uncultured bacterium. RNAcentral describes it as "bacterial SSU rRNA". It matches the Rfam family "Bacterial small subunit ribosomal RNA", at positions 28 to 1381 of the family's 1533-position model. The record is from RNAcentral.
GACGAACUUUUGCGGCGUGCUAAACACAUGCAAGUCGAACGGAAAGGCCCUGCUUUUGUGGGGUGCUCGAGUGGCGAACGGGUGAGUAACACGUGAGUAACCUGCCCUUGACUUUGGGAUAACUUCAGGAAACUGGGGCUAAUACCGGAUAGGAGCUCCUGCUGCAUGGUGGGGGUUGGAAAGUUUCGGCGGUUGGGGAUGGACUCGCGGCUUAUCAGCUUGUUGGUGGGGUAGUGGCUUACCAAGGCUUUGACGGGUAGCCGGCCUGAGAGGGUGACCGGCCACAUUGGGACUGAGAUACGGCCCAGACUCCUACGGGAGGCAGCAGUGGGGAAUAUUGCACAAUGGGCGGAAGCCUGAUGCAGCAACGCCGCGUGCGGGAUGACGGCCUUCGGGUUGUAAACCGCUUUCGCCUGUGACGAAGCGUGAGUGACGGUAAUGGGUAAAGAAGCACCGGCUAACUACGUGCCAGCAGCCGCGGUGAUACGUAGGGUGCGAGCGUUGUCCGGAUUUAUUGGGCGUAAAGGGCUCGUAGGUGGUUGAUCGCGUCGGAAGUGUAAUCUUGGGGCUUAACCCUGAGCGUGCUUUCGAUACGGGUUGACUUGAGGAAGGUAGGGGAGAAUGGAAUUCCUGGUGGAGCGGUGGAAUGCGCAGAUAUCAGGAGGAACACCAGUGGCGAAGGCGGUUCUCUGGGCCUUUCCUGACGCUGAGGAGCGAAAGCGUGGGGAGCGAACAGGCUUAGAUACCCUGGUAGUCCACGCUGUAAACGGUGGGUACUAGGUGUGGGGUCCAUUCCACGGGUUCCGUGCCGUAGCUAACGCUUUAAGUACCCCGCCUGGGGAGUACGGCCGCAAGGCUAAAACUCAAAGGAAUUGACGGGGCCCCGCACAAGCGGCGGAGCAUGCGGAUUAAUUCGAUGCAACGCGUAGAACCUUACCUGGGUUUGACAUGGAUCGGGAGUGCUCAGAGAUGGGUGUGCCUCUUUUGGGGUCGGUUCACAGGUGGUGCAUGGCUGUCGUCAGCUCGUGUCGUGAGAUGCUGGGUUAAGUCCCGCAACGAGCGCAACCCUUGUUCACUGUUGCCAGCACGUUAUGGUGGGGACUCAGUGGAGACCGCCGGGGUCAACUCGGAGGAAGGUGGGGAUGACGUCAAGUCAUCAUGCCCCUUAUGUCCAGGGCUUCACGCAUGCUACAAUGGCUGGUACAGAGAGUGGCGAGCCUGUGAGGGUGAGCGAAUCUCGGAAAGCCGGUCUCAGUUCGGAUUGGGGUCUGCAACUCGACCUCAUGAAGUCGGAGUCGCUAGUAAUCGCAGAUCAGCAACGCUGCGGUGAAUACGUUCCCGGGGCU